CCAAUAGCGUAUAUUAAAGUUGUUGCAGUUAAAAAGCUCGUAGUUGAAUUUCGGGAUCGAAUUGUUGGUCGUGCUUCGGUACGUACUGGCAUUAUUGGUUCCUACCUUCUGAAGAACCGCGAUGUCAUUAAUUUGGUGUCGUGGGGAAUCAGGACUGUUACUUUGAAAAAAUUAGAGUGUUUAAAGCAGGCGCACGCUUGAAUACAUUAGCAUGGAAUAAUGAAAUAGGACGUUUGAUUCUAUUUUGUUGGUUUCUAGGAUCGACGUAAUGAUUAAUAGGGAUAGUUGGGGGCAUUAGUAUUCAAUUGUCAGAGGUGAAAUUCUUGGAUUUAUUGAAGACUAAAUACUGCGAAAGCAUUUGCCAAGGAUGUUUUCAUUAAUCAAGAACGAAAGUUAGGGGAUCGAAGACGAUCAGAUACCGUCGUAGUCUUAACCAUAAACUAUGCCGACUAGGGAUCGGAUGAUGUUAAUUUUUUAAUGACUCAUUCGGCGCCUUACG
RNAcentral lists this ribosomal RNA (499 nucleotides) under uncultured Glomeromycotina. RNAcentral's name for it is "partial small subunit ribosomal RNA". It matches the Rfam family "Eukaryotic small subunit ribosomal RNA", at positions 591 to 1092 of the family's 1831-position model. The record is from RNAcentral. Lineage: Eukaryota; Fungi; Glomeromycota.